UACGUAGGGGGCAAGCGUUGUCCGGAAUCAUUGGGCGUAAAGAGCGUGUAGGCGGUCCGGUCAGUCGGUUGUGAAAGUCAAGGGCUCAACCCUUGAAUGCCGGCCGAUACUGCCGGGCUAGAGUCCGGAAGAGGUGAGUGGAAUUCCUGGUGUAGCGGUGAAAUGCGCAGAUAUCAGGAGGAACACCGGUGGCGAAGGCGGGUCUCUGGGCAACAACUGACGCUGAGGAGCGAAAGCGUGGGGAGCGAACAGG
This 253-nucleotide ribosomal RNA is filed under the name uncultured bacterium. RNAcentral describes it as "partial 16S ribosomal RNA". It matches the Rfam family "Bacterial small subunit ribosomal RNA", at positions 524 to 776 of the family's 1533-position model. The record is from RNAcentral.